RNAcentral lists this ribosomal RNA (406 nucleotides) under uncultured bacterium. RNAcentral's name for it is "partial 16S ribosomal RNA". It matches the Rfam family "Bacterial small subunit ribosomal RNA", at positions 30 to 526 of the family's 1533-position model. The record is from RNAcentral.
AUUGAACGCUGGCGGCAGGCCUAACACAUGCAAGUCGAACGAGUGGCGGACGGGUGAGUAAUGCUUGGGAAUCUGGCUUAUGGAGGGGGAUAACUACGGGAAACUGUAGCUAAUACCGCGUACCAUCGGAUGUGCCCAAGUGGGAUUAGCUAGUGGGGGGGGUAAAGGCUCACCAAGGCGACGAUCCCUAGCUGGUCUGAGAGGAUGACCAGCCACACUGGAACUGAGACACGGUCCAGACUCCUACGGGAGGCAGCAGUGGGGAAUAUGGCACAAUGGGCGCAAGCCUGAUGCAGCCAUGCCGCGUGAAUGAAGAAGGCCUUCGGGUUGUAAAGUACUUUCAGUAGGGAGGCGUUAACUACAGAAGAAGCACCGGCUAACUCCGUGCCAGCAGCCGCGGUAAUUC